This is a non-coding RNA of Podarcis muralis (Common wall lizard), 805 nucleotides long. NCBI's taxonomy places the organism in Eukaryota, Metazoa, Chordata, Lepidosauria, Squamata, Lacertidae. The record is from RefSeq and is a predicted model, not a curated record.
GUAUCUUUUCUACCAUUGCAGGAAGAAAACAUUAGACCCCGGCACUGGAAGGGCACGGAGAUCAGGCUCAUUUUUUGUGAAGAAGGCCAAGGGAGAAAAACUGUGUAAUGGUAACAACAGGCUGAGAGAAAAUGGAGCAGAUGGCUCCAUUGGAUUCCUGAACCAGGGUGCAGAAACUUCAAUUUCUUAUGCGGCGCUCAGGUUCCCUCCAAGUUUGUCCGAGGAACGCACUGUUUAUGCCAGUGUCAAAGCACCGCAACCUUUGGAUGAUGCCGUGAUCUACAGUGUGGUAAAGAAACCCCAGCUCCCCACAAAGGGAGACACCAAACCUGACUACGAGAAUGUGGUGAACAAGAGUGAAGAGGAACUGCAUUACUCAUCCUUGGUGAAUCUGGGCCCACGGCCUCGCCCCACCUAUGUAGACUCUGAAACAGACUCUGAAUCAGAGGAGAGCAUCCAGUAUGCAUCCUUGAAGCACUGAUCCUCUUGGAACUAGCAGAGAUCAGGAACUACUCCUAGACUCUUUCCCCUCUGUGUUGAGGUGGUGCCAGCGGCUGGGCCUGUAUUAUAGCUUGCUGUUUGCAAUCAAAUGCAGCAGAACUUGAGCGGGUAGUGCAGAUGAUCUGGCUGUACUGAGAGACAAGCAAGGCUGAGAUUUAGAUAGAUACAGUGCAUCACUGCCAGCACAGCGCUCCACCUAUCUACACAUUUCAUUGGUGAUCGAGAUCAGUAUCCCCAAGUCUUGUUUUUCCCAUCGGAUCAUAUGGGAAAGAUCUGCUAUUCCUUCCUUCCUUCCUUGCUUCCU